GGGAAGCCNCAUGGCUUUUCCCUGAAAACUCCGGUGGUACAGGAUGGGCCCGCGUCUGAUUAGCCAGUUGGCAGGGUAACGGCCUACCAAAGCGACGAUCAGUAGCCGGCCUGAGAGGGCGGACGGCCACACUGGGACUGAGACACGGCCCAGACUCCUACGGAAGGCAGCAG
Molecule: ribosomal RNA, 173 nt
Filed under: uncultured bacterium
Lineage: Bacteria
Description: partial 16S ribosomal RNA
Rfam family: Bacterial small subunit ribosomal RNA
Source: RNAcentral